UGGUGUGGCUCAAUGGCAGAGCAGCUGAUUUGUAAUCAGCAGGUUGUUGGUUCGACUCCAAUCACC
This 66-nucleotide transfer RNA is filed under the name human gut metagenome. It matches the Rfam family "tRNA". From Rfam's summary of the family: Transfer RNA (tRNA) molecules are approximately 80 nucleotides in length. Their secondary structure includes four short double-helical elements and three loops (D, anti-codon, and T loops). RNAcentral also lists the same sequence under 1 other name. The record is from RNAcentral.